This 258-nucleotide long non-coding RNA is filed under the name Cricetulus griseus (Chinese hamster). RNAcentral describes it as "lncRNA (ENSCGRG00000024220.1)". The record is from RNAcentral. Lineage: Eukaryota; Metazoa; Chordata; Mammalia; Rodentia; Cricetidae.
UUUACAGUCAUUGCGUAGGGCCAGACACUGGGUUAAGUUUGUUUGAAAUGUGCAUUGGGGAAGGGGCUGCAAGUAACUGAAUACAAGGUUUAUAAGUUUGGUUUUCUAGUAGGGUGAAUGAAAUACGCUAUGAUGGAAGAGAGAAGCAGGGUGGGCGGUAUCAUUUGUGUGAGCCCAGGAGGAACUCAAAAUCAGGGGCAUGUUGAAUAUGUUCAUACGUUUCCAACUCAAGUUGAGGGCUUUCUGGACUUGAUGUGA